Non-coding RNA from Salvelinus sp. IW2-2015, 5113 nucleotides. The record is from RefSeq and is a predicted model, not a curated record. NCBI's taxonomy places the organism in Eukaryota, Metazoa, Chordata, Actinopteri, Salmoniformes, Salmonidae.
UUGAUUGUGCACGGCUACGUUAUCAAAGAGAGCAGCAUCACGGAGAUUUGCAUGUAGUCCUAAAUUCGCACGCUGUGGCGAAGGUUUGACCCCAGCCUCUGCUAAUGUAGCUGACAUGUCAUCCGAAACUGUCGUCGAGAGAAGCGGUAAAGAGCAACAGCUCCAUGCGCUGAGAACGGACAGCGGAUUAUUCAACAGAGAGUGCACUUGGGAUUCCGAGGGCAACUAGACUGACCCCCCUCUCACUCUCCCUCCCUCCUUCACUCCAAUCUCUCUCUAGCGCAGAGUUUUCCGUCCUGUGUCAGGAUAACAUCGCUAACAAAAAGCAUUUCUGGCGGUAAGAAACGGCACAAAUGGAAGCAGUUGAGAAAACUCUCACUUACUGAGACAACACCGGACCUUAUAGAAAGCUGCUCCCUGGAAAUGAAUACAAGGACAAGUGCAACCCUAAAACAAAAAGUGACGAAUCCAAUUAUGUUGAUUUGGAUGACUUAAYUGAUAUGAAAUCAGAGGUCACAAAAACUGUAAAAGUGGCUUUUACCGGUGACGGUAACCAAUUGGCGGUAUUCAAAUGCAACAGUGAUACGUCCGGAGAGAGGAGCCCCGGGAUUCACGAGAUUGAUGACAAUGUGGAUCAUAUCUAUGAGGAAAAAUCCAAGGACAAGUCAGCAGAUAGGCCUGUAUCGGAAGAUCCCCCCAUGGACACGUCUUUGACAGAAUUUAACAGCAAUGUGGACUUGGAGAAUGACAAUAUGACAGAACUCCAGAGUGAAAUUGUGCCUCGUGAUUAUAAUGUCCCCAGCGAGUGUGAGGAGUUACAAUACACGGACAUGUAUUUGAACAGUAAAACCGAAUCGGACGACUGUGAGAGCGUAGUAUUGUCGGACCAUUGUGCGCCUGAUACCGUAAUAGACGAAUCGCACUACAUUACAACGCACGAAAUCCAACUGACAGAGCUUGACCAUGAUGUCGAUUAUGAUUUUGGACGGGGAAGCUGUUGGGAUAUUGAGGACGAUAAUCUGGUUUAUUCAUUUGUGGAUUAUGCCUCUUUUGAAAGCGAUGAAACAACAGAGGGGACUUUGAUAGGCCUAGUGGAUGGUAGGAGCCAGGCGAAAGUGAAAAGCAGUAAGGCGCAAUAUAAUAAUGUGCACCAAAGUGUUGCUGGUUGUGCAGUUGUCAGCACUGAGAGUGAGUUUUGUGACUCUGACAAAUGCCCCAGCUCAGAUGAAAGCAUUUGUAAAAACCAAAACGGUAGUGGGAAUUCGGCGGGGCAAAUUCACCUGUCAAUCAAGACCUCAUCCAGAGCGAUAAACGACUAUAACAAUAUCAUUGACAAUGAAAACAUUUGUUAUCAUACCAAGCAUGUGGGAGACAGGAGUCACUUCUUUUUUACAAGCACUGACGCCAGAGCGGAAGCCUUGUGCGAUAGAUCCCAAUAUUUUAUCCCAGCCCCGGGACGCCAACACUUUGCAACUAAAUUAAGAGGGAAAGAUGUUAACGAAUAUUCCAGCGGUGCGUCAAGUUCGAUAAGUGAACUGGACGACGCUGAUAAAGAAGUGCGUAAUUUAACCGCCAAAUCAUUUAGGAGUUUAGCAUGUCCCUAUUUCGAUGCUAUACAUUUGAGCACUUCAAGUGAGUCUUCAAUGUCAGAAUAUGGGCUUGGUUUAAACAAGUGGUCAGCUUUCGUUGACCUUAAAUAUGGUAACAUGUCACAGGGCAAAGAGCAAAAUCUAAUCGCCCAUAAGAGUGCAACUGCAACUUUUGAAAUGAGCAAGAACGCAGAAUAUAAGAGUAUAAAUGCUAUUGCCAUAAGCAGUAAGAAAGGUCCCCAAACCAAUAUGUUUUCUUUGAAUACAAAAAGAUCUAGUCCACAACAUGCAUCUUCCUCUACCCAAAACGUAGAGCUUACAGGCCCAUUUGAACCAGGCUGUGAGGUUAUCACUUUGACAAAGACAUUGGAUUUUCGCUGUAAUGUUGAAGCGGUGUCACCUGAACGCGGGAAGCCUCCCAAAUAUUCAGAAAAUGCGUCAGGAGCACGUUCCAUGGAUGAAGUUCCCGGCACCUUGCCAGCAGAGCCAGGAUAUGAAGUGAGCUACCAACACAGUGACGCGGGUGAUAGCAUGGAAGGCCCACAUAAGAAGGCAAGUUUCGCAUCAAGUCUCUUAAAAAAUGUAAUAUCCAAAAAAAUGCAAUUUGAACAGGAGCGCAAGAUGGAGAGGGGGGAGAUACGGGACACGCAUCCCACGCACUCCCCAUGCUUUCAAUGCAAGGAUCAAGAUGGGGUAAGAGAGAGGGAUACAGAGAAAGGCGUGCAUAGUCAAACCUCAGAAUCGGGUUCGGGAUACACAAGCAAUUCUUCUGAUGAACAAGGGGCUGUGGACCUUAGACAUAAUUCUUGUGACCCCAAAGAAGAGCUUACUGAGGCAUUAGAAAGCUUUCAGACUAUAAAUGAGGCACGAUUAGAUUUUCAAAAGGAUGCAUGCGAGCCCACAAGAGGAUCCCUGAGCCAUAGCCAAAACAGCGCAUUCAAAUCAUGGAGGGAUGGUGAGCCAGAGCCCCAAGAGAAACAUGAAAUUCGUACCAUUUUAGAUGGGACACCCUCGACAACAGAUAAUACGGGGGAAAGGGAGUUAGACUCCAGAGCUGUAAGUAGCAAGCUAACUAAAUUGUCACACUUGUUUGUUCCAAGUUCCCAGCUUCUCCCUAAAGAAAAUAAAUUGAAAGAACAGGUGUCAGACAGUACUUUAGUCGGUGCGCAAAAAGAGCAACGGGGGUACGGGGAGAGAAAGUUUAGACCUGACAACAAUGCAGGAAUCGUGAAAGGGUCAAAGGCACCCGAGAUAAAAAUACGUCUGAGGAGCGUAAAAGAAAACAAAUGCAAUCCGCUAAAUAUUGACAACUUGUUAAUCCCUAAUAUAAGUUAUCCAAUAAAGUCAGCAGGUGACUCCAAAUGUCAGGUUCUGCCAGCGUCAGACAGAGUGCCACACUUUACGGUUAGGGAUAUAAGAGACAAUAAGUGCAAGUUUCAGACGCCAAUUCAUCAGGUUAGAGACGUGCGUAAAUUGGUCAAGAGUUCAUAUCGUUUAGUCUCAGUGGAUAACAGCGAGAGUAAAGGCGCAGUCGCCACUGCUGCUGCCUCAUUACGCGAAGAUAAUAAAGCUUCUAAGAAAGAACCCGAUAAGAAAUUGCCUCCCUCUUCAAUUGUAAUAAAAUGUCAGUCUGUAAAUACAAAUAGCAGUACUAAACAGCGUGUGCUUGUAACCGAGGCUCCAAAGCGGAGACAAAUUGAGAACGAUAGGUCAUCCCCCAAACCAUCUCCAGAAUGUGCCAAAAAUGAAUCCAUGUCGCUGCACAGGGCGACGGGCAGACCUCCAAUUGGCUUCGCUAAACAGCCCAACACAGAUCAGUCCGAGGCUAAACAAAAGCAGGAAAAAAAGGUCGAGGCAGGUGAACGCAAACCGGAGUCGAAAAUACCAAAACAGGUGGCAUUAGAGAAACUAAAGGCGGCCGUUAAAACAAUGGAACAGCUUUAUGUUUUUGACAGAAAUGAAUGGAAGCGCAAGAGCCAGGCUCCCUGGCCUAUUACAGACAGUCAUGUUCUGUCACUUAUUGCUAGAGAGGAGCAUGGUGGCCCCGAGGAGCUAGGUGCAGCAGGUGGCAGAGAGAGGCUUAGUACAGCGAUAAACACAGACAGGUUGCCAGAAACAUGCAACAUUCAAGAAGAGAAAGGUUGUCUAAGAAUAAUCCAUGUCCCAUUCACAGAGGACACCUUUAAAACCCAGUCACAACAAAGUAAAACGUUUAGUAACAAAAGCGUGUUCCAUUUGGGGAACAGCAUUAAGACAGCUGUCAGUAGCAGCAGCUCUAAUUGUUGCAAUGGGCCACAAACCUGUUCUCCAUCACAUGCAACCUCUAUGGGGAAAAGCAUUAGCUCUAAGACCCCGAAAGCUCCACUGUCAUUGAAAAUAUCCCCCCCAAAACGAGCCCUUGUGGACAGGGGAAGGUUCAAAAGCAGCCCCACCACAGAGACUCCACCACAGCCCAUCAAAUCUGGCAACCCAGAUUCUGAAAACUACUUAACAAUACCUGUAGAAGGCGGGAGUGUCAGUCAAAUGAAACUGCCCAUUCAAGAGCAGGUAUACCCAAACAGCCCUGCCGCCAGUCAACCUGGCAUCACCGACACCAAGAGACACAAGCAUAAUUCUAUCCAGUCCCUCAAACGGUCCCCUGUUGUCAUAGAGACGCGGCCCCCGGAUACCCCCAUUACCGCCACCAUCUACCACCACUCUCUACCAGUGGUCAAGCAAGGAACCCCCCAGCCGCAGGUGUUCUGCUUCUCCCCCUCCAUAUCCCCCUUGCCCACCACCCCUUCGGGGGGAGACCCCUUCCAGCGUACCCAGAGGAAGAUGCUCUUUGAUCCCACCACCGGACAAUACUACCUGGUAGACACGCCGAUUGAGCCAGUCACCCAGUGUCUCUUCGACCCUGAGAUGGGCCAGUAUGUGGAUAUGCCCAUGCCUAUGCCGCAGCGGCAGCUAGUGACCACCAUGUCCGUAUCCCCCCUGGCACUGAACCCGGGAGGGGUGUACGCACCCACCUACAUGAUCUACCCGGGGUUCCUCUCACCCACACUUGCUGCCCAGACGGUGAUGGCACCCCAGGUUGCAACCCACAUGGCAUCCCAAUUAGAGGACGAGAGCGGGGAGACGGCUCAAGGGAAAUACACCCUGGUGCAGGAGGGUAACAUGAUGGGGGCAGAGAGCCCCUACUACAGUGCUACGGGAGAGUCAGUGCCGGCGUCAGUGCCCGUCACCUUGGGCCACCACGUCACCACCCAGGGGAGUGCGGUGACGUCAGAAGGGAAACCAGCGGUCAUCAGCAUCACUUCGCAGCAACGCCCGAGAAUCAUCGCACCGCCCUCCUUUGAUGGGACGACCAUGAGCUUCGUGGUGGAGCAUCGGUAACCAUAAAGGGAAUAUACACAGAGUGCUUCUUGAGGAGCCUGUCCAGUGAUAAGUAGAUAUUUUAUGGCUGACCUCCAUGCCUCCUGAGAUGUCGAUGGCCAAGCCACCCUGGAACUCGGCAUUGGCCUUCAGCCCAGACUGAAGCUGGA